RNAcentral lists this unclassified non-coding RNA (296 nucleotides) under Hevea brasiliensis (rubber tree). Lineage: Eukaryota; Viridiplantae; Streptophyta; Magnoliopsida; Malpighiales; Euphorbiaceae. The record is from RNAcentral.
GCGGACUACCUUCGUGUUUUCAUUUGUCCUAUUGUGAUCAUCCACUUUAAAUAAUCAACAUUAAAUCUGUAUCAUAGACAAUGAUCCUCUCUUCUGAUUAAGUUAACAUAAUAAGAAAAGAGGAAACAAUGCUGAACCUGAUGUUUAACAUUAAACAGUUAUAUUGAUUUAUUUUGGCAUAUAAAUUGGGUUGCUGCUUUCAGACCCUUUUAUUAUAUUUCCAACAUGGCUGCGAUGGCUCUUCAACAUUGUCAAGCUGCAGUUGCUAUUCCCCCUUUUUGUUAAUUAAAUAUUGU